UCUGUAUCUCAGAGUUUCUUUGUUCAUCAUACCAUACAGUAUGAUCAGUUUGAUGUAGCAAAACUCUGAGCAACGUCUCAUCUUGAAGAAAAGAGCAUCAGAAAUUCUCCUUCAGCUUCACCGCAGCAGAAGGAAAUGGUCGGAAGCAGCCAGAACAUCAGGCAGAACCUCCGUCUCCGUCUGCAGCUCUCUGUAAACUGGUUUUCUCCAAAGCCGCCAUCAUCUGAGCAUCACCACUAAAACAUUUCCAGAAAACUUGGACUUUGUGCUAUUUUUGUCAAAUUUGAAAUACAAGUACACAAGA
Gambusia affinis (western mosquitofish) is the source of this 304-nucleotide long non-coding RNA. RefSeq lists it as uncharacterized. The transcript is spliced from 2 exons. Lineage: Eukaryota; Metazoa; Chordata; Actinopteri; Cyprinodontiformes; Poeciliidae. The record is from RefSeq and is a predicted model, not a curated record.